GUGGGAUGACGUCAAGUCAUCAUGGCCCUUAUGUCCAGGGCGACACACGUGCUACAAUGGCCGGCACAGCGGGAAGCGAGGGGGCGACCUUGAGCGGAUCCCUCAAAGCCGGUCUCAGUUCGGAUUGCAGUCUGCAACUCGACUGCAUGAAGUUGGAAUCGCUAGUAAUCGUGGAUCAGCCAAGCCGCGGUGAAUACGUUCCCGGGCCUU
RNAcentral lists this ribosomal RNA (210 nucleotides) under uncultured Thermovirga sp. RNAcentral describes it as "partial 16S ribosomal RNA". It matches the Rfam family "Bacterial small subunit ribosomal RNA", at positions 1174 to 1382 of the family's 1533-position model. The record is from RNAcentral. Lineage: Bacteria; Thermotogati; Synergistota; Synergistia; Synergistales; Thermovirgaceae.